Molecule: long non-coding RNA, 408 nt
Organism: Drosophila arizonae
Lineage: Eukaryota; Metazoa; Arthropoda; Insecta; Diptera; Drosophilidae
Source: RefSeq, a predicted model, not a curated record
UCAUAACAUUUCAGUGUCAGACGUAUUUGCAUCUUCGAAAUGGAAAAUCCGUUGGUUUUGUCGGCAACGGCAGCAUCAGUAGGAGCAGUAGAUGAAAGAUGUAGAAGAGGACCAUUACAAAGUCACGACGCACAUUUCUCAUUUUUAUGGUUUUUGUAUGUGGGCGCAGCAGCAACAACAACAGCAACAGCAAUGACAAUUUAAUGCCUUUAAAACAGCAAAAUGCCGUUAAACCGGCAAAAGGAAAUAAUGUACAACAAGGAGCAUCCCGGACUGUCUACCGGAUUCGUGUUUCUGGUUUCUCUUAUUAUCCCGUUGUCGCCUGACAAAUAAACACUAUGUGUGUGUAUGUGUGGCGUUCACAUCCAGCAUAAGAGGCGGACCAAGUCUGGCACUGAAAAAAAAAAA